CCUACGGGGGGCUGCAGUGGGGAAUAUUGGACAAUGGGGGGAACCCUGAUCCAGCCAUGCCGCGUGUGUGAAGAAGGCCCUCGGGUUGUAAAGCACUUUCAGUGAGGAAGAACGCCUGGUGGUUAAUACCCAUCAGGAAAGACAUCACUCACAGAAGAAGCACCGGCUAACUCCGUGCCAGCAGCCGCGGUAAUAUGGAGGGUGCGAGCGUUAAUCGGAAUUACUGGGCGUAAAGCGCGCGUAGGUGGCUUGAUAAGCCGGUUGUGAAAGCCCCGGGCUCAACCUGGGAACGGCAUCCGGAACUGGCAAGCUAGAGUGCAGGAGAGGAAGGUAGAAUUCCCGGUGUAGCGGUGAAAUGCGUAGAGAUCGGGAGGAAUACCAGUGGCGAAGGCGGCCUUCUGGACUGACACUGACACUGAGGUGCGAAAGCGUGGGUAGCAAACAGGAUUAGAUACCCUAGUAGUC
Molecule: ribosomal RNA, 465 nt
Filed under: Vreelandella stevensii
Lineage: Bacteria; Pseudomonadati; Pseudomonadota; Gammaproteobacteria; Oceanospirillales; Halomonadaceae
Description: partial 16S ribosomal RNA
Rfam family: Bacterial small subunit ribosomal RNA
Source: RNAcentral